AAGUCGUAACAAGGUUUCCGUAGGUGAACCUGCGGAAGGAUCAUUAGCACUGUUUGUUUGGGCUCGGCUAACGCCUGCCUGAAUAUCCAAACCCCUGUGAGCAUAUUGUUAUUUUUGUUGUUGGGCUGUCUUGUCCUUUGUAUCCUUUUGUGAUACACAGGCUCGAUAGAUCCCUUUUCACUUUUUUAAACCCCAACCACCUUUUACAAAACAUUAUAUCAAAGACUGAACGUGGUCGUCUCUGCCUAAGAAACAGAGCAUGCCCACAAAUCAUUAUAUCUAAUAAGAAACAAUUCUUAGCAACGGAUAUCUUGGUUCCC
RNAcentral lists this unclassified non-coding RNA (320 nucleotides) under fungal sp. Its description in RNAcentral is "partial internal transcribed spacer region". The stretch from base 1 to 46 matches the Rfam family "Eukaryotic small subunit ribosomal RNA", at positions 1786 to 1831 of the family's 1831-position model. Lineage: Eukaryota; Fungi. The record is from RNAcentral.